Equus caballus (horse) is the source of this 5153-nucleotide long non-coding RNA. RefSeq lists it as uncharacterized. The record is from RefSeq and is a predicted model, not a curated record. Lineage: Eukaryota; Metazoa; Chordata; Mammalia; Perissodactyla; Equidae.
UCUGCCAACUUAGGUUCUAAGACAAUCACUGAGGGACCAGGCAGGGCUGGAUGCCUACGUUCCAAUAACUGAGAAAGUCUAUAUGUGAGGCUGUAUGGUCCCCAGAGGUAGAACUACAAAGUUACAGGCGGCAGGCUUUCGCUUAACACAGAGCAAAGACGGCUACACUGAGAGCAGCUGAAGCUGAAAUGGACCACCAGAGGAGGGAGACUCCCUCCACGGCAGAGUUCCGAGACGGGAACCGCCGCUGACGGGAAACCUGCUUUACCAGCGGUCCUCAACCAGAGCAAUUUUGUCUCCCAGGUGUCUUCUGGCAAUGUCCAGAGACAUUUUUGGUUGUCACAACUGAAGGGGAACCAGUAUACUGGCAUCUAGUGGGUAGAGGCCAGAGAUGCAGCUGUGGUCAGGACAUAAUGCACAGGACAGCCUCCCAGACACACAUAACAAUUAUCUAAUCCAAAAUAUCAAUACUUCCCAGUGUGAGAAACCCUGGACUAGAUAAAUCACUUCUAAAGGUCUCUUCUAAUCCUAUAGCCUAUCUUUAAUUAAUUUUUAAAGCCUAUCUCCAGAAACCUAAGAGAUAAAACAGGAAAAGAAACCCAAGAACGUAUGUGAUUUUUGACAGGGUAAAAAUCCCCAGCCAGAGAAUAUUCUAUAUUCUUAUAAGAAUAAGAUCCUAAAUUCUUAGUGUGCAUGUCAUUCCUUAAAACACGACAUAAUCUUGACUCCCAAAUUCCACGGUAAAGAUCAGAUAAAUUUAAGCAUUAGUCAGACUAGACCUCUGAGCUAAAAAUUGGGGAAAUUUAGUAUUUUAGGUAACAUUGGGUGUCAGGGCUAAAUCAAAGGGCAGCUUGGAAGCGAGCUCUGGAUCAAGCAGGUACCCUCUGAAGGGGCUCCAGCUCUCUCUCCAUCACCACAUUAGUUCAGCUGUGCUGAGGCUCCUGUAAAAAUGAGCUUCCUUUCUCCUCCAAUACCCUAUCAACAUUAAGCAUCAUAAAAAACCUAAGCAUUUUCAUUUGGCUUUCCCUAAUGCAACAUUUUCCUCUUGGAUAUCCCUUUCGUAUGAAGAAAUCUCACUGUAAAAUAUUUAGGAUAUGAAAUCCAAGAAAUUUUUUAGGAAUAAAUAUACACCAUUUACAACCAAUUAGCUCCAAGCUCAAACAAAAAAUAUUUACUUUUAAAAACAAACAAUACAAAUCAAAACUACAUAUACAUGUGGUUUUAUAAUACCCAGCCAUAAAACCUUGGCUACAAUACUUAGCCUCUCUGUUCCUCUGUGAAAUGAAGAGGAUAAAAUAAAACUUAUAUAAAUAAAUGUAAAUAAAAUGAAAACUUGCCUUACAAGUACAACAAAACAAAACAAUACAUGUUCUUAAAAUCUUUCUAUGUAUAAAAAACAAGAAAAACCAACUUACAGCUUUUGCUAUAUAUUGAGCUGGUCCCGGAUAGCCAAAAUCAUAGUGUUAAACCACCACCAACCAUAGUGAUAAGAAUUUCAAACAAAAGGAUCAAGGUAAUAUGAAGAUAGAUGAUUUUUAAAACUUAAAAUGUUAAUAAAUAGGGUCAGAAAAUGAUCAGUUACCAUUCAUUCAUUUGCUGUCAAUCAAACACCUAAGUGCUUACUGUGUGCAAAGAUCACCUCCUUUUUCUAAGUCACCUGCAGAGUGACAUAAUGUUUAACAUGUUGGCUCUAGAAUCAGACUGCCGGGGUUCAGUUACUGCAUGAGCUUGGGCCAGUCAGUGUACCUCCUUGUGACUCAAGUUCCAUCUGUAAGGUGAGGGGUACCUACAGCUCAUAGGGCUGUUGUGAGGAUUACAUGAGUUAACACACAUAAAGCCCUCAGGUGGUGCCUAGUACACAGUAAGUGCUCAGUUAAAGUUAGUUAUUGUAGCACACUGCAACAUAACCAGUUUAAUCUUCCUAAAACUAAUUUCUUCACUUCACAUCACUGUCUAAGAAACUACAAUGGCCUUCUUAUGCCUAGAACAUAAAAUGCAAGUACUUAAUUCUGGUAACCAUCCAACACCUCCCAACUAAUCACAUACCAGUCCCCCAAAUGUGCCUUAUACUCCGUACUCAAGGAUGGGCCAGAGCAGCACUGUCCAAAAAAAUCAUGCAAGCCACAUAUUGUAAUUCUUAUUUGUCUGCUAGCCACAUUUAAAAAAGUAAAAAACAGAUAAAAUUAUUUUUAAUAAUAUUUUGUUUAACCAAAUAUAUCCAAAAUACUACUCUAGGAAUCUUUUUUAAGUUACUAAUGAGAUAUUUAACAUUCUUUUUUCCAUUCCAAGUCUUUAAACUCCAGUGUGUUUCCACUCACCACACACAUCUCAUGCGCAUCUCAGUUUGGACCAGCCACAUCUCAAGGGCUCAGGAAUCACCACAUGGCUCAUGGCUAUAGUACUGGGCAGGGCCACUCAAGAGCAUGGCAAGUUUCUGGUAACCACAGCCUUCAAUCAAUCAGUCCUACUUCGCUUCCUACCCUCUUUUCAUUAUCCCCCUAUUCAUCUAGAUUCCUCAAGAUUCAACUUACAGAGAAGCUCUUGAGCAAGACCUACCCCAACAACUCCAGCCCCCAGUGAUCCUGCUCCCAUUAAAUAAAACUGAAUGCAUACUGUGGGCAAUGAGUUUUGUCAGGUCCGUGACUGAAACAAAGUUUAAGACAGGAACGCUUAAGGAGUUAAUCUUUUGUAUAAACAUAAUGUUAUCAUUUGUAAUAACAAAGAAAGACAAAAUAACUAAAUGUCCGUCAAUAGGGAACUGAUUAACCAAAUGGUAGCUUUACUUACUGCAAUAUUAUUAUGGGGUAACAAGUAAGAGUAGCCCCAUAAUACUAAUAUGUGCUAAUGUAUAUUAGUACAUAUAAAACAUAAAACAUUCUGUUUUAUAUGUACUAACAAAGAAAAAUUGCUAAGAUACUUUGAAGUUGAAAAAUUUAUGUAUUACGUAUGUAGUCAUUAGAUGUAUAUGUGUGUUGGCGGGGGGAGUUAGGUAGGUAGAUAAAGUCUACACACAGUUGUUAAUGCACACCAAAUCUCAGGAAACAGUUUAUAGUGGGUGUUUCCAGAGAAGGAACCAGAUGACCAGAACAGGGGCCAGCAAACUUUUUUUAAAGGGCCAAAUAUUUAACCUCAUGGGUCAUAAAGUCUCUUUGGUAACUACCCAACUCUGAUGCUGUGGCUUGAGAUCAGCCAUAGAUAAUACUUAAAUGAAGGGGCAUGGCUCUGUUCCAAUAAAACUUUAUUUUAAAAACAGGCAGUCAGUGGUAAACUGCAGUUUGCUCACCCCUGAACUAGAAUACAAGAGGAGGAGGAGACGUAUUUUUCACUCUACACUCUUCUGUACCUUUUGGAUUUUUUACCGUGCACAUGAUUAUAGACACCUGUUGUGUACCACUUGCAAAAUCUCUUGACCCAGUCUGUUACUCCAGCUAUGGAGGACUAAUUCCUUACAGGCUGUAACUGGCUAUAGGUCCAACCAGAAAGCAAGUGCUCUUACUCAUUCACUACCCAGAAGUAUGGAGGAGUUAACUCCUGCGGGACAACCUUGGACCAAUGGGGAAAGUCAGUUCAGAGGUUCAUUUCAUAAGGCUCCUUGAAAGUCUCAGUGGGAUUCAGCACUACUCACUCAUGGAGCGGCUAACUUGAAGAUGCACUGGUGUACAUGCAAUACCUACUUCUCUGGACUAACAGUUUAAAAGUAUACAGGCAUGUUCUGAGAACAGAGUAAACCAGAUGAAUGGUUAGGGUAAGGUGAGAAAGAUAAAUUGGGCCUAGACGGAAAAUCCUGUAUGUUUAUGGACCAGCUUAGAUGCAAGAGAGAAGCCUUAAAAGUUUUCGAGUAGAAGACACGAACAUGAUUAAGGCACUGUGACUAACAGAUCAGGGCGGAAAGCAGAGAAUACCAGUCACUGGACCAAUUAAUUAGGAGGUCAGCUGCACAAGACCAAUGUUGAAGAUAAAACAGAUAAGGAAAAAAUUCUGCACAUGAUAGAAAGGAAAAAUCAACAUAACUUUAAAAAGCGGGGAGAAUCAAAGAUGAUGCCAAGGUUUUCUGCCUAGCUGACUAGGAGAAAUAUUCGUAUUCCUACAAGGUAUGUGGCAAAGAGGAAUAAAAAUAAGGGUUUGGUUUCAGUUGUGUUCAAUUUGAGGUGAUAAAAAGCAUUUCAAAUGAAGGUUUCCAAGAGAUCAUCAGAAAUGAGUUUAGGCCAGCACAGCCUCAAGGUAUGUGUCCGGUUGCUGGCAGCCUAACCUUAUCAGCUAGAGCUUUGCAAGUAGAGGAGAUUUCCAAGGAAAAAGGCAGAGAUGAAGGUGAAAAAAUGAGCCCUAGAGAAUGUCUAUAUUUAGGGAAGUGGGAGGAGGGGGGAAUAAAAGAGGAAACAAAACUGUCUUCAAUAUUUAGAGAGCUGGGCAGGCGAGCAUCACAGAUGAUCGAUCAAGUUAGGGACAAUCACCUUUCACCAAGCUAUUAACGAGAUGCCAGCUACUUCCAUAUACCUUGUUUUAUUUGACACUCAAAAACCUUAAGAGCUGUUAUCCCAACUUCACAUGAGAGGAAAAACCGAGGACCAACAGGGUUAAAUAAUUUUCCCAAGUUCAUACAGCCAAGAUGGGGUAGGAUGCCUUAAAGGUGUGGAGAGUUAAGAGUUUCAAAUGAGAACUGAAAAAGACCCCUGAAUUUAGCAAUAAGGCAGGAUCAAAAAUGGAAUUUCAAUGAAAAGGGGCUAAAGCCAGAUAAUGGAAGACUAAGGCAAAGUGGAAAAGCAGCUAAUUACCUGGUUAGAAAUUUGGUUUACAAAACUGAAGAGAAACUAAUGUAGUCAAGUACAGUUAAAUUAAUGGCCUUUUUUUCUCUUUGCCCAAAUAGGAGAAACCUGUGAGCAUGUGUAAGCAGACAGAAAGGAACCAAUUUUGAAAAGGGGAGAAUAAAGACACAGGAAGGAAAGCACCAGAGGUCAGAGAACAGGCACAAGGACAGAGAAGAGGGAUGGAGGGCAUGACGGCUUUGUCCAAUACCUGAAGAAAGGCAGAGGUACCUGCAUCGGAAUCUCCAUCUACACAGGAUGAAACUAGAAGAUGAAGAUGCUUUCUUUGAAACAAAAUCUACAGCCUGUUACCAAGAAAAAGACUGAUGUCCCUGCAAAAAAAAAAAAAAA